RNAcentral lists this ribosomal RNA (493 nucleotides) under uncultured bacterium. Its description in RNAcentral is "partial 16S ribosomal RNA". It matches the Rfam family "Bacterial small subunit ribosomal RNA", at positions 29 to 523 of the family's 1533-position model. The record is from RNAcentral.
AUUGAACGCUGGCGGCAUGCUUUACACAUGCAAGUCGAACGGUAACAGGUUAAGCUGACGAGUGGCGAACGGGUGAGUAAUGCAUCGGAACGUGCCCGGUCGUGGGGGAUAACGCAGCGAAAGCUGCGCUAAUACCGCAUACGAUCUAAGGAUGAAAGCGGGGGACCGUAAGGCCUCGCGCGAUCGGAGCGGCCGAUGUCAGAUUAGGUGGUUGGUGGGGUAAAGACUAAACAAGCCAACGAUCUGUAGCUGGUCUGAGAGGACGACCAGCAACACUGGGACUGAGACACGGCCCAGACUCCUACGGGAGGCAGCAGUGGGGAAUUUUGGACAAUGGGCGAAAGCCUGAUCCAGCAAGGCCGCGUGCAGGAAGAAGGCCUUCGGGUUGUAAACUGCUUUUGUACGGAGCGAAAAGGUCUCCUCUAAUACAGGGGGCUCAUGACGGUACCGUAAGAAUAAGCACCGGCUAACUACGUGCCAGCAGCCGCCGUAA